This 452-nucleotide ribosomal RNA is filed under the name uncultured bacterium. Its description in RNAcentral is "bacterial SSU rRNA". It matches the Rfam family "Bacterial small subunit ribosomal RNA", at positions 32 to 459 of the family's 1533-position model. The record is from RNAcentral.
AAUCAACGCUGGCGGCGUGCCUCAGACAUGCAAGUCGAACGAGAAAGUUUCCUUCGGGGAAUGAGUAAAGUGGCGCACGGGUGAGUAACACGUAGGUAAUCUACCUUCGGGUGGGGAAUAACCCAGGGAAACUUGGGCUAACACCGCAUAAUGCAGCGGCACCACAUGGUGACAGUUGUUAAAGCGGGGGAUUUUAGGACCUCGCGCCUGAAGAGGAGCCUGCGGCGGAUUAGCUAGUUGGAAGGUAACGGCUUACCAAGGCGACGAUCCGUAACCGGCCUGAGAGGGCGGUCGGGUCACACUGACACUGACAUACGGGUCAGACUCCUACGGGAGGGCAGCAGUCGGGGAAUUUUGGGGUCAAUGGGCGAAAGCCUGACCCAGCAACGCCGCGUGAAGGAUGAAAUCCCUCGGGAUGUAAACUUCGCAAGUCAAGGAAGAAUAGAUGGAAG